UUUUUUUUUUCUUUUUAGAAGACAUUUUACUAGGCCAGAAAUGAUAAGGAUCACUGUUUAUAUUCUCUGUAAAGUUUUCAUUAUGAAAAAGGAUUUGUGAGGUUGGUCUUAAGCUGUAGCCAAUCUGGUGUGCUUUGCAUGCCUUUCUGUAGUCAGCAGCAAACUUUGCUGCAGGCCUCCAUCUUGUUUUACAUCCUUGGGAGCAUGACCUGUAACCACGUGGCAAUGUUUUGUUUAGCCCCACCAUUUUACAAUGGCAGCUGGGUUCAAUCCUGGCUUAGGGAAUCUUUUCUGGUUUGAUAUCUGCAACCUUUGCUAUUUGUUGAUUCGCUUCCUCUCAUGAACUUGGAUUUUCCUUUCUCUGAGCCUCUAGUAAAGUUUGAAAGCAAAUAAUAUGGCCACUUGGUGUGGCUAAAGUCAGAUAACAAGGGAUAAGGAUUUUAGUAAAGAGCACUCAGGUUAAUUAAAUGUGGAUAUCUAAGUUAUAAGUGUAUUUAAAGGGUCUUUAUGUUUUUCUUUUCUUGGAUCUUGUUUUGCUGGAAAAAGGGUUUUUUCUCAAUCGACCGAAUUAUUUUUCUUCAUUUUGCCUUGUCACUCUCAAUGCAUGCAUGAGAAGCCCUAAGAUAACUCCUGGGGGCAUGGGACUCUUUGGGAAAAACAGAGAAGGCACCACUGACUCCGUUUUGGGAAGAAACCUGUUCUCAUGGAACACCAGGAAUUAAAAGUGGAUAGAUCCCUCUCAAAAUCUGUUUUUGCCCCACCUAUGACUGUUUAUUAGGCCUUAGAAGCUGCUUGUUUUUCUAGCGCUGUCUCUUAAAGGGCUCCACCUGGAGGCCAAUAAUCCAAUUAGGAGAUUGGCAAAUGAAAAAUCUUAGGGCUGCUGGGUUUCCUUCCGCCUGCCUGUGUAGUUAUAUAUGUGUUGUGUGUAUGUGACAUCUAUAAAAAAGAGCUCUAAUUAACUUAAAGAAGGAUAAGCGCUUGAAUCAAAUAUUUUGUAAAAGGGAGGUUAAAAGGUGUGGUAUCUUUCAGUUCACAUGACUUUAAUCUUUGAGAAAUAAAAAGUCUUAAAGAUUAUUGGUAAAAUGCAGAUGUCAUCCAAAUGUAAAUAGGUGGACUAAAUUAUGCAGGUCAGAUACUAAGUUUGCUAAAAGUUUUAAGGUAAUAAACUGCUUUUGUGGUUUUUGAGAACUGUUUGACUUGCCUGCUUCACAAUCGGUAAGGCCUGGGGACAUACUGAAUUAACCACAACCUUAAUUAUGCUGGAAGGAGUCAAACCUUGGCUGCACCUAGCACAUAAUUAAAACAACUUACCACGUUUUACAUUAGUUACAAAUUGCUAGGAGUUACCAUUAUAACAUGUAAUUGAAACUACUGGCAAUAGAUUUACAUGAGACGUGUGCAAGAACAGUAAGGUAAGUCUUUAGAAAAAGAUUAUAAGGUGUGGAAACAUCUUUUUUCUUUUUUCCUCCUGUCCUCUCUUCACUAAUAGGCAAUUAUGUCUCCAUACUAUGGGACACUCUCCUCAAAUGCAUCCUCCAAACUGGGAAGAAUUAAUUUCCCAAACCUUAGACUGUUUGGCUUAGGAUUGGGCUUAGGGGACGGGAACCCAGAAGCCUGACAUGCUGGCAAAAGGGUAAAAGGUCUUUUACCAGUGGAGCUUUUGGCCU
Long non-coding RNA from Macaca fascicularis (crab-eating macaque), 1667 nucleotides. NCBI's taxonomy places the organism in Eukaryota, Metazoa, Chordata, Mammalia, Primates, Cercopithecidae. The record is from Ensembl.